GGAACUUACUUUUUAGUGGUAAAAAAUGGC
This 30-nucleotide non-coding RNA is filed under the name Rattus norvegicus (Norway rat). Lineage: Eukaryota; Metazoa; Chordata; Mammalia; Rodentia; Muridae. The record is from RNAcentral.